AGUGAACGCUGGCGGUAGGCCUAACACAUGCAAGUCGAACGGCAGCACAGUAAGAGCUUGCUCUUACGGGUGGCGAGUGGCGGACGGGUGAUGAAUACAUCGGAAUCUACUUUUUCGUGGGGGAUAACGUAGUGAAACUGACGCUAAUACCGCAUACGAUCUACGGGUGAAAGCAGGGGAUCUGCGGACCUUGUGCGAUUGAAUGAGCCGAUGUCGGAUUAGCUAGUUGGCGGGGUAAAGGCCCACCAAGGCGACGAUCCGUAGCUGGUCUGAGAGGAUGAUCAGCCACACUGGAACUGAGACACGGUCCAGACUCCUACGGGAGGCAGCAGUGGGGAAUAUUGGACAAUGGGCGCAAGCCUGAUUCAGCCAUACCGCGUGGGUGAAGAAGGCCUUCGGGUUGUAAAGCCCUUUUGUUGGGAAAGAAAAGCAGCAGGUUAAUACCCCGCUGUUCUGACGGUACCCAAAGAAUAAGCACCGGCUAACUUCGUG
RNAcentral lists this ribosomal RNA (492 nucleotides) under uncultured bacterium. RNAcentral's name for it is "partial 16S ribosomal RNA". It matches the Rfam family "Bacterial small subunit ribosomal RNA", at positions 29 to 507 of the family's 1533-position model. The record is from RNAcentral.